Molecule: ribosomal RNA, 468 nt
Filed under: uncultured bacterium
Lineage: Bacteria
Description: partial 16S ribosomal RNA
Rfam family: Bacterial small subunit ribosomal RNA
Source: RNAcentral
GAUGAACGCUGGCGGCGUGCUUAACACAUGCAAGUCGAACGGAAAGGCCAGUGCUUGCACUGGUACUCGAGUGGCGAACGGGUGAGUAACACGUGGGUGAUCUGCCCUGCACUUCGGGAUAAGCCUGGGAAACUGGGUCUAAUACCGGAUAGGACAAUGGUUUGGAUGCCGUUGUGGAAAGUUUUUUCGGUGUGGGAUGAGCUCGCGGCCUAUCAGCUUGUUGGUGGGGUAAUGGCCUACCAAGGCGUCGACGGGUAGCCGGCCUGAGAGGGUGUACGGCCACAUUGGGACUGAGAUGCGGCCCAGACUCCUACGGGAGGCAGCAGUGGGGAAUAUUGCACAAUGGGCGCAAGCCUGAUGCAGCGACGCCGCGUGGGGGAUGACGGCCUUCGGGUUGUAAACUCCUUUCGCUAGGGACGAAGCGUAUUUGUGACGGUACCUGGAGAAGAAGCACCGGCUAACUACGUG